Molecule: long non-coding RNA, 398 nt
Filed under: Mytilus galloprovincialis (Mediterranean mussel)
Lineage: Eukaryota; Metazoa; Mollusca; Bivalvia; Mytilida; Mytilidae
Source: RNAcentral
UUUAGGUAAGGGAUAAAAAUAAUGGUAGGUUAGGGUAAUGCGGUUAACACACAUACUUUUUAGUUGGCCUAAAUGUACAGUAGUUUUCGUUGUUUAUGUACAUGAUGUACAUUAAUUUGUACGUGUUUCUUGUUAUUCCUUUUUAGACCAUUGGUUUUCCUGUUCAAAGGGUUUUACACUAGUAAUUUUGGGGUCCUUUAUCAUUUUUAUAGCUUGUUGUUCCGUGUGAGCCAAGGCUCUGUGUUGAAGGCCGUACAUUGACCUAUAAUGGUUUACUCUUUUUUGGAUGAAUAGGCACUCAUACCACAUCUUCCUAUAUCUAUCUACUGAAUGUUUUCUAUUUCAAUGGGUUAUAUUUAAAAACAGGGAUUUGAAGCAACCAUUAAUUUUGAAUUAGG